GAUGAACGCUGGCGGCGUGCCUAAUACAUGCAAGUCGAGCGAACAGAUGAGGAGCUUGCUCCUCUGACGUUAGCGGCGGACGGGUGAGUAACACGUGGAUAACCUACCUAUAAGACUGGGAUAACUUCGGGAAACCGGAGCUAAUACCGGAUAAUAUAUUGAACCGCAUGGUUCAAUAGUGAAAGACGGUUUUGCUGUCACUUAUAGAUGGAUCCGCGCCGCAUUAGCUAGUUGGUAAGGUAACGGCUUACCAAGGCAACGAUGCGUAGCCGACCUGAGAGGUUGAUCGGCCACACUGGAACUGAGACACGUUCCAGACUCCUACGGGAGGCAGCAGUAGGGAAUCUUCCGCAAUGGGCGAAAGUCUGACGGAGCAACGCCGCGUGGGUGAUGAAGGUCUUCGGAUCGUAAACCUCUGUUAUUAGGGAAGAACAAAUGUGUAAGUAACUAUGCACGUCUUGACGGUACCUAAUAGAAAGCCACGGCUAACUACGUG
This 496-nucleotide ribosomal RNA is filed under the name uncultured bacterium. RNAcentral describes it as "partial 16S ribosomal RNA". It matches the Rfam family "Bacterial small subunit ribosomal RNA", at positions 28 to 507 of the family's 1533-position model. The record is from RNAcentral.